This 396-nucleotide ribosomal RNA is filed under the name uncultured bacterium. RNAcentral's name for it is "bacterial SSU rRNA". It matches the Rfam family "Bacterial small subunit ribosomal RNA", at positions 358 to 769 of the family's 1533-position model. The record is from RNAcentral.
AGAAUCUUGCGCAAUGGGCGAAAGCCUGACGCAGCAAUUCCGCGUGGGGGACGAAGGCCCUCGGGUCGUAAACCCCUUUUGCGAGGGAAGAAGUUCUGACGGUACCUCGCGAAUAAGCACCGGCUAACUACGUGCCAGCAGCCGCGGUAAUACGUAGGGUGCGAGCGUUGUCCGGAUUUAUUGGGCGUAAAGAGCCCGCAGGCGGCCUGGCAAGUUUCAGGUGAAAUCUCCCGGCUCAACUGGGAGGGGUCCUGGAAAACUGUCAGGCUUGAGGCAGGGAGAGGGAUGUGGAAUUCCCGGUGUAGUGGUGAAAUGCGUAGAUAUCGGGAGGAACACCAGUGGCGAAGGCGGCAUCCUGGCCCUGUCCUGACGCUCAGGGGCGAAAGCGUGGGGAGC